CAUGGAGUGAUUUCAUGAGAAACUUUUUCUCAUGUAAUAAAUGAGGCGUAAAAAAAGGGAUAAGGUGCAAAGAUUGAUUGCCCAUUCAAAUUCAAACUUUAUUUUGAAUUUGAAUGGCCAACCAAUCAUCCUUAUCCAUUCAUAUGGCACAUUAAAGUGGGGCAUGGAGAGGGCUUGGCAUGAGAAAAUAAUUCAUGAGAAGUUUCUUCUCAUGAAUUCAAAUGGAUGCAAUGGAAGUGAGGUGGCGCAUGGAGAUUGGAUCAAGGUGGUUUAAUUAUUUAAACCAACCUAAUUGAACCAAAUAAGUUAGGUCCAAUUAGACUAAUUUAAACCCAACUAAAUUAGGCUUAAUUAGGCUCAAUAAAAUUCUAAUCAAAUCAGAAAUUGAUUAAGCCCAACCCCUGAUCAAAUCAUGGACCAAACCAUCUCGACGAUUAGGUCAACUCUUAACCUAAUCGGAUCAAACCCAACUGAAUCCAAUUCAAUUGGACUUGAUCCAAAAAUAAUUACUCAAUCAAAUUGAGUUAAUUAGUGACCAAAUCACUAAUUAAACCUCUCAUAAAUAUUGAGUCCAAAUCCGAUGGGCAAUCAGGCAUCAGAAUUCAUCGAUAUGUAACCCUGAUCGAAAAAUCCCAACCAGUGGGACUCUUGACCUCGGUACCCAUAAUGUGUGGAACUCAUGAUCAGAGAAUCCUGAUUCUCGAUUACUGAGUCUCAAACAUGUAGGAUUCUAAAUCAGCCAUCAGAUCAGAUAGAAACCUCUAAUGUGUGUGACCCCGCAGGUUCGAACCUAAGCCGGUAGCACAGGAACCAAUUUCUGUACUAAUCGAAGUGACCAUCUAGCAAUGGUACUCGAUAUCUGGAU
RNAcentral lists this long non-coding RNA (865 nucleotides) under Elaeis guineensis (African oil palm). Its description in RNAcentral is "long non-coding RNA (EGUI_LNC081189)". Lineage: Eukaryota; Viridiplantae; Streptophyta; Magnoliopsida; Arecales; Arecaceae. The record is from RNAcentral.